This is a long non-coding RNA of Parus major (Great Tit), 1796 nucleotides long. NCBI's taxonomy places the organism in Eukaryota, Metazoa, Chordata, Aves, Passeriformes, Paridae. The record is from Ensembl.
AAUUGGUUCCGGCACAGCCUGGUUUGUUUGGCAAUGUUUCCUCUAAUCCUUCAGGCUCCGCGCUCCCGGCCCCAGGGACAUGGGGACAUCUCGACACCCGGCCAGCGCCACUGCGGCACUCCCAGCUUGGACCCCCUCCCACACGGGGAAGCAGAAGAAUGAUGCUGCGACCGGCUCUGCCCACCCUGGGGUGCCCCCGGAUCCUUCAGGCUCUGCACUCCCAGCCCCACGGACACGGAGACAGCUCAACACGCAGCUGUGCCUCUGUGGCACUGCUGCCUUGGAUCCCUCUCCCACCCUGGCAUGCUGAGGGGUGAUGCUGGGACCACCCUGAAGUCCUCCUGGGGCUGCACCCUGCCGUGGUGACAUCCUGGGGAUGGGAUCCGUGGUGACACCCUGGGGAUGGGAUCCGUGGUGACACCCUGGGGAUGGGGCCGCCUUCUGCUGGGCACGGGGAGGAUGCUCAGAGGGCUGGGCAGGCUGGGGCGGCGGAGGGAAGGGACGGGAAAGGAGGGGAAGGGAAGGGGGGCCCCCACGGCCCAGCAUGGCCGAGCCAGAGCACUAGCCAAGAGUCGGCAGCUUUGUUCCAGGUGCCGGCUCCCUUUUUUUCAUUAGGCUAAUGGGAUGCGGAUGCAUUAUUCCAUUCCACAUGCUGCUAAUGAACCACUCAGGCCAGUGCAUUUGCAUUAAUGUGCAAAGCACUGGAGGAGGGUGGAGUGGCUGCAUCUGGCCAAGGCUGACCUUCCCUGCACCGCCCAGCCUCCCCAAGCUGCGCUGCGCUCCCACCACUCUCGCACCACCCCACCGGACCCAGGAACUCCUCGGGACGGCUCCGACGCACAUUCCAGGACACCAUAACCAGCCCUGAGCCGCCUCACACUUGCUGCCCACGUUGUCCUCUUGCCCGUGCUGUGCCUGGCCAGCUCCACCACCCCUUCCCAUAUGGAUCAUGGAUGACGCCCCCCUGCCACUGCCCCACUCUGUACCCUGUCCCCAGUGCAAAAGGGACCACAGCAUUCCUCCUGCACUCUCCACUGCUCCCCAGAAAGCGAUCACUCCCACCUCCUGCACAGAAACCUGCGGCGUGUCCCUCCUCCCCGGUUACUCGUACUGCCUCACCCCAGAGCUCCCCUCCUGCACCCAAGGAGAGCAGGGGGUGCUCUCCCAAGGCCCCCACCCCAGGGCUGGCAGGCAGCGCCGGGCGCGGGCGUCACUGCAGCCCUUGGGUUGUUUCUUACGGCUCCCAACUGCCUCUGUCCCCGGAGAGGUUUCGAAGGCGAGUGACCCACGAACUGGAAUGCGCAAAGCCUCCAGCAAACAGAGCCAGCUGCCUGCGCCCGCGCGGGGGGAGCGGUGAGGGGAGAGCAGCCGGCCCCGAGCCUCGGCACGGCACAGCACGGCAUGGCACGCCUGUUAUUCGGCAGCGCUCGGCCCCCCAGAGCUGUGCUGGGAUCGUGCUUUGCCCUGUGCCCGUCUGCAAGACAUCAGUCCUUGGGUGGCCGAAGGACCUUUAGGACAUGGGACAACAGAGCGGCAGUGGCAGAGCCCCGGCCUUGCUCUUUGCCACCUCCCAGACACUGGAGGGAUCCCAGCUGGAAUCGGUGGGGAUGAGCAGUGCUCUGCUUGCCCUGGGUGGGCAUGGCAGGGCCUCAGCAGCUCUGUGCCCGCCAAGUGUGCGAAGCCCCCGCACUCGAGCGCGUGCACGCGGGUGUCUGGGUUUGUCACAGCCCGGUGAGCAAGUUAAUCUCAGGCUCCCUGACACGUGGAAUAAAAUCGCGAUCCCGUAAUGGAAUUCA